CCUACGGGGGGCAGCAGUGAGGAAUAUUGGUCAAUGGACGAGAGUCUGAACCAGCCAAGUAGCGUGAAGGAUGACUGCACUAUGGGUUGUAAACUUCUUUUAUAUGGGAAUAAAAUGUUCCACGUGUGGGAUUUUGUAUGUACCAUAUGAAUAAGCAUCGGCUAACUCCGUGCCAGCAGCCGCGGUAAUACGGAGGAUCCGAGCGUUAUCCGGAUUUAUUGGGUUUAAAGGGAGCGUAGGGGGGUUGUUAAGUCAGUUGGGAAAGUUCGCGGCUCAACCGUAAGAUUGCAGUUGAAACUGGCAGUCUUGAGUAGAGGAGAGGUAGGCGGAAUUCGUGGUGUAGCGGUGAAAUGCUUAGAUAUCACGAAGAACUCCGAUUGCGAAGGCAGCUCACUGGACUGCAACUGACACUGAGGCUCGAAAGUGUGGGUAUCAAACAGGAUUAGAUACCCCUGUAGUC
RNAcentral lists this ribosomal RNA (460 nucleotides) under uncultured bacterium. RNAcentral describes it as "partial 16S ribosomal RNA". It matches the Rfam family "Bacterial small subunit ribosomal RNA", at positions 338 to 795 of the family's 1533-position model. The record is from RNAcentral.